GCACGUAGUUAGCCGUGGCUUACGCAAGGUACCGUCGUACUGCGGGAUUAUUCAGCCCGCAGCUCUCUUCCCUCGCUUGUGAGGUUUACAUCCCGAAGGAUUUCCUCCCUCACGCGGCGUUGCUGGGUCAGGCUUUCGCCCAUUGCCCAAAAUUCCCCACUGCUGCCUCCCGUAGGAGUCUGGCCCGUGUGUCAGUGCCAGUGUGGCUGGCCGUCCUCUCAGACCAGCUACAGAUCGCAGCCUUGGUGAGCCAUUACCUCACCAACUAGCUAAUCUGCCGCAGGCUCCUCUUCAGGCGCGAGGUCUUACGAUCCCCCGCUUUAACAACUAAUCACCAUUAGGUGCCGCUGCAUUAUGCGGUAUUAGCCCAAGUUUCCCUGGGUUAUUCCCCACCCGAAGGCAGAUUACCCACGUGUUACUCACCCGGACGCCACUCUACUUACCCCCGAAGGGGCUUUCGCGUUCGACUUGCAUGUGUUAGGCACGCCGCCAGCGUUGGUU
Molecule: ribosomal RNA, 501 nt
Filed under: uncultured bacterium
Lineage: Bacteria
Description: partial 16S rRNA
Source: RNAcentral